Molecule: ribosomal RNA, 454 nt
Filed under: uncultured bacterium
Lineage: Bacteria
Description: partial 16S ribosomal RNA
Rfam family: Bacterial small subunit ribosomal RNA
Source: RNAcentral
GAUGAACGCUGACAGAAUGCUUAACACAUGCAAGUCAACUUGAACUUCGGUUUGGGUGGCGGACGGGUGAGUAACGCGUAAAGAACUUGCCUCACAGCUAGGGACAACAUUUGGAAACGAAUGCUAAUACCUGAUAUUAUGAUUAUAUGGCAUCGUAUAAUUAUGAAAGCUAUAUGCGCUGUGAGAGAGCUUUGCGUCCCAUUAGCUAGUUGGAGAGGUAACAGCUCACCAAGGCGAUGAUGGGUAGCCGGCCUGAGAGGGUGAUCGGCCACAAGGGGACUGAGACACGGCCCUUACUCCUACGGGAGGCAGCAGUGGGGAAUAUUGGACAAUGGACCGAGAGUCUGAUCCAGCAAUUCUGUGUGCAAGAUGAAGUUUUUCGGAAUGUGAAGUGCUUUCAGUUGGGAAGAAAAAAAUGACGGUACCAACAGAAGAAGUGACGGCUAAAUACGUG